Molecule: RNase P RNA, 410 nt
Filed under: Bacteroidota Order II. bacterium
Lineage: Bacteria; Pseudomonadati; Bacteroidota; unclassified Bacteroidota Order II.
Description: RNase P RNA component class A
Rfam family: Bacterial RNase P class A
About the family: Ribonuclease P (RNase P) is a ubiquitous endoribonuclease, found in archaea, bacteria and eukarya as well as chloroplasts and mitochondria. Its best characterised activity is the generation of mature 5'-ends of tRNAs by cleaving the 5'-leader elements of precursor-tRNAs. Cellular RNase Ps are ribonucleoproteins.
Source: RNAcentral
AAAUCCAGCCGGAUCAUCGCCCGAUUUUUGUCGGGAGGAAAGUCCGAACACCAAAGGGCAUCGUGCUUCCUAACGGGAAGGCAACUGCUUGAGGAUGUCCAAUUCCAAGCGGUUGACAGCAAGUGCAACAGAAAAUAAACCCGCCAAUGGCCUUAGGGCACAGGUGAGGGGUGAAAUGGUGGGGUAAGUGCCCACCGGCGUAUUAGGCGACUGGUACGGCCAGGUAAACCUCACGCGGUGAAAAACCAAGCAGUGUACGUUGCCUUGGCAACACGGGUGGCCCGCCCGAAUGUACACGGGUAGGUUGAUAGAGGCGGCCAGUAAUGACCGUCCCAGAUAAAUGAUGAUCUCCUCGCCAUUUGCGACCAGUGACGGGCAGACAGAAUUCGGCUUACAGGCUGGGCAUAGAG